UUAUUUAUUUUCAUUUUACUUAAAAUAUAUGUUUUUGUUAAGUUAACAUAUGUUUUUCUAAUCAAGUCUACGUAAUUGUGUCUAUUAUUCACUGUACAUAAUACUAAUGUGUUACUUGAUGGCAUAACAUUUAAGUUAAGUCAAUUAGGAUCGAUAUACUUUGUAUAUCCACAAGGUGGCAGUAAUGCAAAAACAGUUGUAAUGAAACCGCGAAGAACAACAAGGUUUCACGGCUUGGGCCUGCUCAUGCGCAAGACUUCAAAUUUAACUUAAAAACGUUGUUUUGGCGCCAAGCUGCUGUUUCGUUGAGAGAAACCCCUCAGUUUUUCCCUCCCCACUGAAGGUUUGUGCCGCUAUAACGAUCCUAAAUCUCUAAACCCUCAUCCAUUUAUCUCUUCACUUAUUGAUUCAUCUACCUAUCCACCCAUUUACACAUUAAUCUCCUCAUCCGUCUAUCGCUUUGCCACUUUUCAUUUACUCCUUUCCAUGAAUGAGCUGAAGGAUGAAGUACACGCCUGAAAGAUUCAUGGUUAUCCACAUCUGUGACUUUCCCACGUUUGCUUGAUCCUGCCAGUUUCCUUCUGUCAUGUCGCGGCGCCCUCUUCAAUCCUUCACCUCCAAACAUAACUGGUCAUCCUCCACAGCUUCUCUGUAAUAUUACUUCGAGUGUUAUACAAGAUUAAUGCCUGACAGUAUGUGUCCUGGUGUCUCUUGAGAACUCCACCAGCUCAUCAACACUUUUUCUCAUGCUAGCAAAGGUCAAAUCGGGGCAACUUUUGGAUAAGCAUACAUUUGCUAAUAAUGGUCUCUUUUUAGAUUUAGACUUGUACAUUAAUGCCCCAACUAUUAUCAUAAAAAAAGACAGACUGAGAACAGAUUUAAGAACAGUGCAGAAAUUUUUUUAAUCUGGUGAUUAGUCUGCAGUAAACCCAGCUUUUCACCUGCUGUCAGCAAGGACAGGUUCCCAGCUCAGUAGGUAGAGUGGUCGCCCCCAUAAUCAGAAGGUUGGGGGUUCGAAUCCACUGAACGGCUAACCUGAGGUACCCCUGAGCAAGGUACCAUCCCUAUACGCUGCUCCCCGGUGCGCCUGCUUAGUGGCUGCCCACUGAGUGAAUGGGUCAAAUGCAGAGAGAGUAAUUUCCCCAUGGGAGAUCAAUGAAGUUUACAUUAUUAUACUCUUUAUUUUUAGAAUUUCAUUGUUUUUUUCUUUCUGAUGUUUGUUACAUUUUCACUUUUGGUGGUGGGAUUAUGUAGGAAAAAGACGGAUCUAAACACAUUAAAAACAUAUGAAAAAACACAAGAGUAAAACAAAUGAGGUUUGCAAGGCAAAAAAAAAGAAAAUAAAACAAAAAAAGGAAAAAAAAGUUUAGUUUUAUUAUUAUUAUUGUAGUUGUAGUAUUGUAAUCUGCAAUGAUUGCACAUGUUUCUCACUUUUUUAGUGAUAAAAUCAAAAAAAAAAAUACCUAAAAUAUAGUACAAUGGAAGGAAGUGUUACUUGAGUUGUUCACUCGCCACCUCCAUAACAAAAUCAUUCAAAAUGCUGGAACCAGAUUGGUCAAAAAAAGGUUGGACAGAAGUUGCAGCAGCCACCUGCAGGGACAGAGUGUUCCUGGGCCUCAGAACAGAAUGAGCAGCAUGGAUAUUAUUUGAAUAUUUUUAUUAUUUUUCUUUCCCUGUAAAAAUGAUGAUGUUUGACUUGUAUUUAACGUGUAUAUGAUUGUUCUUAUUUUAUUAGUACAACAUUUAAUGUUAUUGCUAUUGGUUGUUGCUAUUUCUUUUUUUUAUUAUUUUAAUGUUUGAACUGAGCAACAAAUGGAGAUGCUGCAUUUCUUUAUCCCAGUGUUUCCUCAGAGUUUCUAAAAACUGCAUAUAAAGGACUGAAUAUAAAUCCCCCAAUAAUACACCUUUUUUUAAAGAGACCCAAAUAGAAACCAUACAGCCACACGCCUUCUCUUUACCAUGCCAUGUCAACAAGCUCUGCACAACUUAUUUACACAGUGAGGCUGGAUCAAAUUGCAGUCACAAUCAAGAUAAUUGGAGCGCAUUUUAAUACCAGGUGUAACCCUGUCAGCUAUAAAUUAUGUUCCUAUACAAUGAAAUUGUGGUACAGGAACAUAAUCUAAUUACAGU
This is a long non-coding RNA of Oreochromis aureus, 2130 nucleotides long. RefSeq lists it as uncharacterized. The record is from RefSeq and is a predicted model, not a curated record. The transcript is spliced from 3 exons. Lineage: Eukaryota; Metazoa; Chordata; Actinopteri; Cichliformes; Cichlidae.